GACGAACGCUGGCGGCGUGCUUAACACAUGCAAGUCGAACGGAAAGGCCCUGCUUUUGUGGGGUGCUCGAGUGGCGAACGGGUGAGUAACACGUGAGUAACCUGCCCUUGACUUUGGGAUAACUUCAGGAAACUGGGGCUAAUACCGGAUAGGAGCUCCUGCUGCAUGGUGGGGGUUGGAAAGUUUCGGCGGUAGGGGAUGGACUCGCGGGUUAUCAGCUUGUUGGUGGGGUAGUGGCUUACCAAGGCUUUGACGGGUCGCCGGCCUGAGAGGGUGACCGGCCACCUUGGGACUGAGAUACGCCGCAGACUCCUACGGGAGGCAGCAGUGGGGAAUAUUGCACAAUGGGCGGAAGCCUGAUGCGGCAACGUCGCGUGCGGGAUGCCGGCCUUCGGGUUGUAAACCGCUUUCGCCUGUGACGAAGCGUGAGUGACGGUAAUGGGUAAAGAAGCACCGGCUAACUACGUG
This 468-nucleotide ribosomal RNA is filed under the name uncultured bacterium. RNAcentral describes it as "partial 16S ribosomal RNA". It matches the Rfam family "Bacterial small subunit ribosomal RNA", at positions 28 to 507 of the family's 1533-position model. The record is from RNAcentral.